This 468-nucleotide ribosomal RNA is filed under the name uncultured bacterium. Its description in RNAcentral is "partial 16S ribosomal RNA". It matches the Rfam family "Bacterial small subunit ribosomal RNA", at positions 28 to 507 of the family's 1533-position model. The record is from RNAcentral.
GACGAACGCUGGCGGCGGGCUUAACACAUGCAAGUCGAGCGGAAAGGCGCGGGUGUGGUGGGGUGGUGGAUAAGGGAAGGGGUUAGUAACACGUGUGUGACCUGGCCUUGACUUAGGGAUAACUUCAGGAAACUGGGGCUAAUGGCGGAUAGGAGCUCCGGCUGCAUGGUGGGGGUGGGAAAGUUUCGGCGGUUCGGGAUGGAGUCGCGGCUUAUCAGCUUGCUGGUGGGGGAGUGGCUUGACAAGGCUUUGACGGGUAGCAGGCCUGAGAGGGUGACCGGCCACACUGGGCCUGAGCUGCGGCCCAGACUCCUCCGGGACGCAGCAGUGGAGAAUAUUGCCCAAUGGGCGGAGGCCUGCUGUAGCAACGCCGCGUGCGGGAUGACGGCAUUCGGGUUGUAAUCCGCUUCCGCCUCUGCUGAAGCGUGAGUGACGGUAAUGGGUAAAGAAGCCCCGGCUAACUACGUG